CAGCAGCCGCGGUAGGACGAACCGUGCAAACGUUACUCGGAAUCACUGGGCUUAAAGCGCACGUAGGCGGCGACAUAAGUUAGAGGUGAAAUCCCAUCGGCUCAACCGUGGAACUGCCUCUAAUACUGUGUUGCUUGAGGGAGAACGGGGCAUUCGGAACUUCCGGUGGAGCGGUGAAAUGUGUUGAUAUCGGAAGGAACGCCGGUGGCGAAAGCGGAAUGCUGGGUCUCUUCUGACGCUGAGGUGCGAAAGCUAGGGUAGCGAACGGGAUUAGAUACCCGCGUAGUCCCUGUCUCUUAUA
Molecule: ribosomal RNA, 301 nt
Filed under: uncultured bacterium
Lineage: Bacteria
Description: partial 16S ribosomal RNA
Rfam family: Bacterial small subunit ribosomal RNA
Source: RNAcentral